GUGGGACUCCCUCCCAACAAUCCUCAACACACUCAACACAGAGAACAGAAGAAAUGGAGGAAGAACUACCAGCGAUUUCAUUUGAUCGUUUCUGCCAGAGGAGCUGCAGCAUCAAGGAGCAGAGCUAGAGAAUUUGCUAAAACUCAAAAACAGUGUCAUCCAAGUCUCUUGUAAGACAGCGUCUCAAUGUCUCAAUGUCCUGAAAAAGAAGGGUUCUUUUGAACUCCCAACCAGGUACGUUCUUCACUGGUUUAAUCCAAUCAUAUUUACGUUCAUCUCUACGCCAAACAUUUUGUAGAUUACUGAGCAUGGUAGGAAUAUAAGAUUUAAGAGCUGAAACUUGUGUAUUUAAUCUUUGGACUAUGGUUUUGGACUUUCUA
Molecule: long non-coding RNA, 380 nt
Organism: Cucurbita moschata (crookneck pumpkin)
Lineage: Eukaryota; Viridiplantae; Streptophyta; Magnoliopsida; Cucurbitales; Cucurbitaceae
Exons: 3
Source: RefSeq, a predicted model, not a curated record